This 468-nucleotide ribosomal RNA is filed under the name uncultured bacterium. RNAcentral describes it as "partial 16S ribosomal RNA". It matches the Rfam family "Bacterial small subunit ribosomal RNA", at positions 28 to 507 of the family's 1533-position model. The record is from RNAcentral.
GAUGAACGCUGGCGGCGUGCUUAACACAUGCAAGUCGAACGGAAAGGCCCUGCUUUUGUGGGGUGCUCGAGUGGCGAACGGGUGAGUAACACGUGAGUAACCUGCCCUUGACUUUGGGAUAACUUCAGGAAACUGGAGCUAAUACCGGAUAGGAGCUCCUGCUGCAUGGUGGGGGUUGGAAAGUUUCGGCGGUUGGGGAUGGACUCGCGGCUUAUCAGCUUGUUGGCGGGGUAGUGGCUUACCAAGGCUUUGACGGGUAGCCGGCCUGAGAGGGUGACCGGCCACAUUGGGACUGAGAUACGGCCCAGACUCCUACGGGAGGCAGCAGUGGGGAAUAUUGCACAAUGGGCGGAAGCCUGAUGCAGCAACGCCGCGUGCGGGAUGACGGCCUUCGGGUUGUAAACCGCUUUCGCCUGUGACGAAGCGUGAGUGACGGUAAUGGGUAAAGAAGCACCGGCUAACUACGUG